UACGUAGGUGCCAAGCGUUGUCCGGAAUUACUGGGCGUAAAGAGCUCGUAGGUGGUUUGUCGCGUUGUUCGUGAAAACUCACAGCUCAACUGUGGGCGUGCGGGCGAUACGGGCAGACUUGAGUACUGCAGGGGAGACUGGAAUUCCUGGUGUAGCGGUGGAAUGCGCAGAUAUCAGGAGGAACACCGGUGGCGAAGGCGGGUCUCUGGGCAGUAACUGACGCUGAGGAGCGAAAGCGUGGGGAGCGAACAGG
RNAcentral lists this ribosomal RNA (253 nucleotides) under uncultured bacterium. RNAcentral's name for it is "partial 16S ribosomal RNA". It matches the Rfam family "Bacterial small subunit ribosomal RNA", at positions 524 to 776 of the family's 1533-position model. The record is from RNAcentral.